GACGAACGCUGGCGGCGUGCUUAACACAUGCAAGUCGAACGGAAAGGCCCUGCUUUUGUGGGGUGCUCGAGUGGCGAACGGGUGAGUAACACGUGAGUAACCUGCCCUUGACUUUGGGAUAACUUCAGGAAACUGGGGCUAAUACCGGAUAGGAGCUCCUGCAGCAUGGGGGGGGUUGGAAAGUUUCGGCUGUUGGGGAUGGACUAGCGGCUUAUCAGCUUGUUGGUGGGGUAGUGGCUGACACAGGUUUUGAAGGGUAGCCGGCCUGGGAGGGUGACCGGCCACAUUGGGACUGAGAUACGGCCCAGACUCCUACGGGAGGCAGCAGUGGGGAAUAUUGCACAAUGGGCGGAAGCCUGAUGCAGCAGCGCCGCGUGCGGAAUGACGGCCUUCGGGUUAUAAACCGCUUUCGCCUGUGACGAAGCGUUAGUGACGGUAAUGGGUAAAGAAGCACCGGCUAACUACGUG
Molecule: ribosomal RNA, 468 nt
Filed under: uncultured bacterium
Lineage: Bacteria
Description: partial 16S ribosomal RNA
Rfam family: Bacterial small subunit ribosomal RNA
Source: RNAcentral